Molecule: ribosomal RNA, 836 nt
Filed under: uncultured bacterium
Lineage: Bacteria
Description: bacterial SSU rRNA
Rfam family: Bacterial small subunit ribosomal RNA
Source: RNAcentral
ACGGGUGAGUAACACGUGGGUGAUCUGCCCUGCACUUUGGGAUAAGCCUGGGAAACUGGGUCUAAUACCGAAUAGGACCACGCGCUUCAUGGUGUGUGGUGGAAAGCUUUUGCGGUGUGGGAUGGGCCCGCGGCCUAUCAGCUUGUUGGUGGGGUAAUGGCCUACCAAGGCGACGACGGGUAGCCGGCCUGAGAGGGUGACCGGCCACACUGGGACUGAGAUACGGCCCAGACUCCUACGGGAGGCAGCAGUGGGGAAUAUUGCACAAUGGGCGCAAGCCUGAUGCAGCGACGCCGCGUGAGGGAUGACGGCCUUCGGGUUGUAAACCUCUUUCAAUAGGGACGAAGCGCAAGUGACGGUACCUAUAGAAGAAGCACCGGCCAACUACGUGCCAGCAGCCGCGGUAAUACGUAGGGUGCGAGCGUUGUCCGGAAUUACUGGGCGUAAAGAGCUCGUAGGCGGUUUGUCGCGUUGUUCGUGAAAACUCACAGCUUAACUGUGGGCGUGCGGGCGUUACGGGCAGACUAGAGUACUGCAGGGGAGACUGGAAUUCCUGGUGUAGCGGUGGAAUGCGCAGAUAUCAGGAGGAACACCGGUGGCGAAGGCGGGUCUCUGGGCAGUAACUGACGCUGAGGAGCGAAAGCGUGGGGAGCGAACAGGAUUAGAUACCCUGGUAGUCCACGCCGUAAACGGUGGGUACUAGGUGUGGGUUCCUUCCUUGGGAUCCGUGCCGUAGCUAACGCAUUAAGUACCCCGCCUGGNGAGUACGGCCGCAAGGCUAAAACUCAAAGGAAUUGACGGGGGCCCGCACAAGCGGCGGAGCAUGUGGAUUAAUU